Prionailurus viverrinus (fishing cat) is the source of this 541-nucleotide long non-coding RNA. RefSeq lists it as uncharacterized. Lineage: Eukaryota; Metazoa; Chordata; Mammalia; Carnivora; Felidae. The transcript is spliced from 4 exons. The record is from RefSeq and is a predicted model, not a curated record.
ACAAUGGUCAUUUGUGAAGGAGAGGACACUUGAGAGCUCGGUGUCUCUAUAACAGGAGGCAAAACCAUGUUCACCAAUAAGGUUUCAACCCUUUAUUUAGUGAAAUGAAGUGUUAGGGAACACAGAGGGGGUUUUUAAGAGCUUACACGUCCAUCAGAACCAGAGCCACGGUGUGAGAAGAGAACCACAAGACAUUUCCUCAAAUACCUGUGGCUUUGUAUGAAGGAAUCAAAGACCAGGAACACAAGCAAUUUGGUUACAAAGAAUUACACAGAAGUGAAAUGAGAACGGAAGCAAUUUCUUCUGAACCCUAGAACCACGGGGCAGCAUUACCAUGAAGUGACCUUAGAAUCAGGCUUCAAGAAUGACCACAGAAAUGAUAAUUCCAAAGAAAAAAGUAAACAGUUAGAUUACCAAUACAAAAAUUAAUAAAUGGAAUAGCAUUAAGCAAUGCCAGAUUUCAGUGGCGAAACAGAUUCAGAAUGUAUACACUGUGUUGUGCUCUGACCACUAAACAACAUACAGCUUCCAGAAACCACAG